Molecule: long non-coding RNA, 1027 nt
Organism: Mugil cephalus (flathead mullet)
Lineage: Eukaryota; Metazoa; Chordata; Actinopteri; Mugiliformes; Mugilidae
Exons: 2
Source: RefSeq, a predicted model, not a curated record
CAACAACCAUCAGAGAGUUUGUUGGACCUUAGAUCUGGUGGAGCUGCACUGGACUGUACAAUAGGCUUAUUACUAAAUGUGGAAACAAACCGUAACAAACAGAGCUGACGUCAGAGGAGUAAAACUGGAAAGACAAAAUUCAAUGUCACAUUCAUGAAAGUCCGGAUGACAGCAGAAAAUGGUUGAGACAGGAGGAGGACGAGUGAGGAUGACAGCGGAGCCAGAAUAAAUCUAUUUGUAUCUACUGGAAGAAAUUUCUAAUUCAACAGAGUUUAUCCAUACUUUACAGACUGAAAUACCGGCGAGGACAGAUGAUCUGCUUUGCUGUGUUUCAUCAACCAACAUCAAGCUUAAAUCCAACAGUGACCUCAGCUCCAGUCAUCCAGGAUCGCGUCAACGCCAGUCCCAACCCCCAGGGUCGACUCAGUCCCCAUCCCCUAUAGCUCCUGAGCCAGCUCCAGCUCACAUCUCUGCUCCCGAGCCUGCUCCAGUCCAUGUCUCUGUGCCAGCUACUGUUUCCAGCCUAAGUUUUAAGCUCUGGACUUUGACAUUGUGUUAUGUGUUUGUGUUCUGUCCCUCUGUCUGUGCCCCCUCCACCUGCCCAGUUCUGUUUUUGAAUUUUAGACGGAUGUCUGUGAUCCGACCUUUGAGGGGGGGUCUCUGUCAUGAUUAUAUCUGUCUGUUCCAUGUUUUCAGUUUCCUGUUUUAUUUUGUAAAGUUUCUUAGUUUCCUGUUGGGUGUUGCUCCCUGUGUUUUCCAUGGAUUGCUUAUGGGUUUCUCCUUGUGUGCUCCGCCCUCAUCAGUUCCAGUCAUCCUGUCACAGUGUUUUUCGUGCACUUAGGUCCACGCCUCCACCACCCUUUGUGACAGGAACAUUACAUGACGGAACAAUAUAUGAAGGGUCUUCUAUGAACAACUAUUUAGAUGUUAUCACAGCAUAUUGUAUUAUGUGUACUCAUUCUAUAUUUUAUCACAUAUAGAUAUUUGAUAAAUUAAGUGAUUAUAAAUAAAGAUUAUUGCAUUAUGA